This 442-nucleotide ribosomal RNA is filed under the name uncultured bacterium. RNAcentral's name for it is "partial 16S ribosomal RNA". It matches the Rfam family "Bacterial small subunit ribosomal RNA", at positions 338 to 795 of the family's 1533-position model. The record is from RNAcentral.
CCUACGGGUGGCAGCAGUGGGGAAUAUUGGGCAAUGGACGCAAGUCUGACCCAGCAACGCCGCGUGAAGGAAGAAGGCUUUCGGGUUGUAAACUUCUUUUAAGGGGGAAGAGCAGAAGACGGUACCCCUUGAAUAAGCCACGGCUAACUACGUGCCAGCAGCCGCGGUAAUACGUAGGUGGCAAGCGUUAUCCGGAUUUACUGGGUGUAAAGGGAGCGUAGACGGCAGUGCAAGUCUGGAGUGAAAGGCGGGGGCUCAACCCCAGGACUGCCACUGGAACUGCAUGGCUGGAGUGCGGGAGGGGCAGGCGGAAUUCCUGGUGUAGCGGUGAAAUGCGUAGAUAUCAGGAGGAACACCGGCGGCGAAGGCGGCCUGCUGGACCGCGACUGACGUUGAGGCUCGAAAGCGUGGGGAGCGAACAGGAUUAGAUACCCGAGUAGUC